This 849-nucleotide long non-coding RNA is filed under the name Sinocyclocheilus grahami. Its description in RNAcentral is "lncRNA (ENSSGRG00000030549.1)". The record is from RNAcentral. Lineage: Eukaryota; Metazoa; Chordata; Actinopteri; Cypriniformes; Cyprinidae.
GAAGUUUAAGCUUUUUUGUGUUUUGUUGAUUAGUCAGAGACAUUUCGAGCAGGCAGAGGAUCAUUAUGGACAGCGCUGUCUGAGAAGAGCCAUGGCAGACUGGCAUCUGUAUGUAGAUCACAAAAGACAGAAGAGAGAGAAACUUGCACGAAUGGAGAAACAUUACAACAGUAGAUUGCUCAGACAUGCUCUAGAGGCUUGGAAGUCAUACCAUUUGCAGACUCAAUCGAUCAACCAAAAUGUAGAGUGCCGUUACCAGGAGCAUCAGCAGCACCUUGUCAGGUAUUAUUAUGAUCUAUUUGUUAUAAUUUACUGUAGUGUGUAUUUUAAGAUAUGUGAUCUGUUCUGUCCUUUUUUAUUUAUGUUUCUGCAGAAGAAUGUUCUAUUCGUGGAGGAUAAACGUGGCACAGUUGACGGAAGAGAGAGAGAAGGAAAGCAGAGCAAAAUGUUUUUCUCAAAAGCACCUUCUAUCUCAGUUCACUUGCAGGUGGCUUUGAGAAGAUGGAGAGAGCGAAGCACAGAGGUAAAAGACGAGAGACUCGAGAAUGAGAGGGCCAGCACACACUACAGCAGAACCCUGGGGAAAAGAACCCUCAACACAUGGACCACUAAUAUUCAGCAUCACAAAACUUAUCAGGUAAUGAAGAAAAGAAGCUUUGAGCUUCAUAAGUUGAGGAUUUGUCAGCACUUUUUUAUCUGCUGGAAACACAGCUGCAGAGCAGAAGAAUAGAAGCAGAGAAAACUGAGACUGCCCUUUGGCAUUGGUCCCUCAACCUACAGGCCAAGGUAAUGCCAGAUCAUGCACCACUUAUUAAUGAUAAUGCAAGUUUCCUGCAACUGCAUAAUUUC